CUUGGCAUCAGUUCAUUUUGUAAAGUUCAAAUUGCCAAACAUACGUUGACAGGGCACGGAGUUGCUGUCAAGAUCUUUAAGAAUAUAUAAGAAACUGCUGCAACUUUAAGCUGUUGGUUCAAUGCUUUAGAAGGAGAGAAUUAUUCUUGAUGUCAUGUAGAUUUUACACCUUAAUGGAUGGAAGUUGAAUGCCCCAAAGGUAUCUCAGGUACAGCAAUCUGAGACAUGAGUGGACGAAGAGAGGAAUUUCAUUAAGGUUCAUUCACCAGAAUCAUACCAGAAUCAUUAACAUUCACUCACCAUUUGGUUGGUCCUUAGGGAUUGGCAAAACUCAGGUAAUAAUAGUGUUGGCUUCCAUGUCUGCAUAUGUUUAUUUUAUAUAUUAUUGACAACUGUUUUUCUCAAAAUUUGUUCUUAUCCUGUUUGCUGUAAGUUUCCCUAAUCCCUAGGUCCAUCAGUAGAAUGAUUGUAUUUUGAUUUUAUACAUUAGUUUUUGCUGGAGUUGCAUUCCACUUAAACACAGAUAAAAUAGAUGGUUUGGAAGGAUCAGUUUUUUGUUGUCCAAUCCUUCAUAAUAGAUUAUUGUGUAUCAAGCAAAUGAUGAGCUGGCAACAUAGGAAAAGUUUGAUGCCUUCAUCUUACUUUCUCAGAUCAGAUGAAGAACUAGAGAAACGAGAAAUUUAGGCCAUCUCAAACUAGAUUUCUUUGAUAGGUUACUUGUAAGGCUGCUUAUCUUUACGUUGUCGAAUUACUUAUGAAUGUUACUGUCAGUUCAAUGUCAAACCUGCUACAUGUUUCUACUGUAGGGAUUUGGAUGAUCAAUUUUUAGGCAGUUUUACCUAUCAAAAAAAACUUCUUAGGCAGUUUUACCGUUCAAAAUUGGUGGUUGUGUAUUUGAGCUCAUAAUGACUUGGCAGCAUUGGACAACUUUGAUGCAUUCUCCUUACUUCUUUGAAUCAGAUGAAGAACUAGAGAAGCAAGAAAUUCUGGUCAUCCCAAUUAAAUACACCCCUACCUUAUGGCGAUAAAACUAUAAUCCAUCUCCUUUGCAUCACAUUUUGUAGAAAGACCACCAUCCUAGUUCAGU
Molecule: long non-coding RNA, 1087 nt
Filed under: Olea europaea subsp. europaea
Lineage: Eukaryota; Viridiplantae; Streptophyta; Magnoliopsida; Lamiales; Oleaceae
Source: RNAcentral